RNAcentral lists this long non-coding RNA (738 nucleotides) under Struthio camelus australis. RNAcentral describes it as "lncRNA (ENSSCUG00000012800.1)". Lineage: Eukaryota; Metazoa; Chordata; Aves; Struthioniformes; Struthionidae. The record is from RNAcentral.
GUAACAGAUCCUGAGAUUUUGCAUCACUGUAUUGUAACCUUUUCCUCCCCUCUGCAAUUGCUUUUGAACAGCCAGACGUGUCACAGAGGUGCAACGACGUACUCAGAGGCAGGCAUCUAAUUGUCUCCAACCUCGGUGAGAGAUGAGUAGCAGCACUGCUUCUUUCAGGUGGGUCUGAGAGCUGCUGUGGAACUGAAGACCAGGAGUUGCCUACGUUAACCGGAGGACUGAGAUGCUCUGAUCAGCCUGCCUGCUGAGGCAGUGGUUACAGCUCGAGUAGCAUACGGCACUGGAGUAAAUCCACAUUCUCUACUUCUUUCUCAUAAGCUUGAAAAUAAAUGGAUACUGGUGAGUAACUUUCUCCCCAAAUUCAUAUGCCCUCUUGGAGUAUCCUUAUAUUUUAGUGGACACUUAGUUUUGGAUCUCAGAUUUAUUGUCCAAACCUGUCUGCUUGUAAGACUGAAAUCAUGAAUUGAGCCCCUCUCAAAAUGCUGAGAUAAGUUUAAAAGUCAUCAGUAGUAUUUCUGCAUGGAUUGAUUAGUUUUUAUUUUUACUUUUGUUUUUUUUUUCUUUGACUUGUAAUUUUUCAACCUUUAGCUGCACCUUGAUCAUCCCUCUGAUGACUUUUUGGUGUAGCCACAAGGUUUAGAAAUGAGUUCUUUUAGAGAGACUGUAACUAUUUCGCAUCAAAUCUUGCUAUUCUAAAAUAAAAAGGUCACUUCUACAAAGGAAACUUCA